Molecule: ribosomal RNA, 1517 nt
Filed under: metagenome
Description: bacterial LSU rRNA
Rfam family: Bacterial large subunit ribosomal RNA
Source: RNAcentral
AUAAGUCUCGUGGUCAAAAGGGAAACAGCCCAGAUCUACAGCUAAGGUCCCAAAUAGAUGCUAAGUGGAAAAUGAUGUGAAACUGCGAAAACAACCAGGAUGUUGGCUUAGAAGCAGCCACUCAUUUAAAGAGUGCGUAAUAGCUCACUGGUCGAGUGAUGGUGCGCCGAAGAUUACCGGGGCUAAAACUUGUCACCGAAGUUUAGGGAUGCAGUUUACUGCAUCGGUAGAGGAGCAAUGUAUGCGGGCAGAAGCGAUAUCGUAAGGGGUCGUGGACUGCAUACAAGAGAGAAUGCCGGCAUAAGUAGCGCGAGCAAAGUGAGAAUCUUUGCCGUCGAAUGCCUAAGGUUUCCUGGGGAAGGUUCGUCCUCCCAGGGUAAGUCGGGACCUAAGCCGAGGCCGAAAGGCGUAGGUGAUGGACAACAGGUAGAUAUUCCUGUACCGCCAAAUGACGCUUAAAUGAGGCAAUGACACAGUAGGAUAGUCAAUCCGCGGCGUUGGAUUGCUGCGGCCAAAUCAUGAGGCUGAUGUGUAGUGAAGUACGCACAUCGUCAGGCUAGGUGAUGAUGGGGAGUGAAAACUAGUAACGAAGUCGAUGAAUUCACGCUGGCGAGAAAAGUUGCUAAAUGGAUAGAGGCGCCCGUACCGCAAACCGACACAGGUAGACGAGGAGAAAAUCCUAAGACUGGCGAGAGAAUCAUUGUUAAGGAACUCUGCAAAAUGACCCCGUAACUUCGGGAUAAGGGGUGCCUGCGCGAGCAGGUCACAGAAAAGAGGCCCAAGCAACUGUUUACCAAAAACACAGGUCUCUGCUAAAUCGAAAGAUGACGUAUAGGGGCUGACACCUGCCCGGUGCCGGAAGGUUAAGAGGAGAAGUGAGAGCUUUGAAUUGAAGCCCCGGUAAACGGCGGCCGUAACUAUAACGGUCCUAAGGUAGCGAAAUUCCUUGUCGGGUAAGUUCCGACCCGCACGAAUGGCGUAAUGAUUUGGGCGCUGUCUCAACAGUGAACUCGGUGAAAUUGUAGUAUAUGUGAAGAUGCAUAUUACCCGCGACUGGACGGAGAGACCCCGUAGAGCUUUACUGCAGCUUGAUAUUGAAUUUCGGUAAUUGAUGCACAGGAUAGGUGGGAGGCUGAGAAGUCGGCGCUUCGGCGUCGGCGGAGCCAACCUUGGGAUACCACCCUUUGAUUAUUGAGGUUCUCACUUUGCGCCGUGAUCCGGGCGAAGGACAGUGUCAGGUGGACAGUUUGACUGGGGCGGUCGCCUCCUAAAAUGUAACGGAGGCGCUCAAAGGUUCUCUCAGAAUGGUUGGAAACCAUUCGCAGAGCGUAAAGGCAUAAGAGAGCUUAACUGAGAGACAGACAUGUCGACCAGAUACGAAAGUAGGACUUAGUGAUCCGGCGGUAGAGAAUGGAAUUGCCGUCGCUUAACGGAUAAAAGUUACCUCGGGGAUAACAGGCUGAUCUCCCCCAAGAGUUCACAUCGACGGGGAGGUUUGGCACCUCGAUGUCGGCUCG